AUACAUAUUUUACUGUUUUAAAAUUUGUUUUUAUAUAGAAUUAUUUUCAUAAGGAAGUAGUGUGAUAUUUAAUGUGAUAUUUUUUAUUUAUUACAUUUGGAAAUUGCUAAAAUCAAAUUCUGUUGUGCCGCAUUAUCAAUUGAUUAUUUCACUGAAACUGUUAUUAUUUUUACAAAAAUUUCAAUGUUUUUUAAUUUUGGAAUUUUCAAAUAGUUUUCAUUAGAUUAUAACAUAUGUGUAUGUGUCUAUGUGUAUAACACAUAGACACAUACACAUACAGUCAGAUUUAUCAGUUUGUAUUUUUUAUUAAGAGUUAUUAUAACAAACUAUUACACAAAAUGCACAAUACAUUAUACGUACAUGUAUUAUACGGCACUAUAGCGAUGUAUUCAUUAAAAAAUAUGUUUCUACAUUUUCUUGAAAGUUAAAGAGAAAUUCUCAUAUUUUCUAGCUUAAUAACAAUAUUAUUAAAAAUGAUUACAAAUUUGUCAAUUAUGUAAUGUAACUUGAUUUACUGUUAUAAAUUGAAUAAUAAAAAAUAUAAAUUUAUUAAAUAAUAAAAAUAUUAACUUAACAAUCUCUAGAAAUUUUUUUUGCUGUUUUAAACUUUUUGAAUUCCAUUUUAUUGCACGUUUAUUGUAAGUAUUCUUUUAAGUAUUGUUUUAUCAAUUCUUCUUUUUAUUUUUAAAAAUCAAUGUGCGUCCCUGCAAUGUACAAGUACAUCUCAAGUUCAUAAAAUUGUCUGGCAUGUACGUCGUAACUAUCGUCGACAAUUGCAGUAAAGUUUUUGCUAUAGAAAGUUUGAAAUUUUAAUAUUUUCCUUUCAUCCUAGCGACGAGUAGACAUGCGCAUUCUGUAGGAUAAUCCUACUUUCUACUCAUCCAAUACUUGGAGAUACGAUGUACGAUCAUACAUGUACGCGCACGCAAUUAUAGUAGUAUGUCAUAGCAUCACGGCGGUGACAGAUGCUUUCGACAAGUCGUGCUCUAAUAACAGUCUGUUUUCUCCGUUGCCUGGGAUGAUGCCCCUCAACAUUCAUCGUUAGUUGAGUGACAAGCAAAGAAGGACAUGAAAAAUGUGAGCAGUUAUGCAUAUAAAAAAUAUGCAACAAUUCAAGGAAGGCCAAACAUCAUGAAUCAACAAAUCGAAUAAGUGUUUAAAACGUUUCUAAUUUCAAACAGUGUCACAAGUGUUUUAUGAGACAAAAUAAUUUGUAAAUUUUUUCAUUUAUCCUUAACUAAUCCCUGUAUCUUUUAGAGGCAUCAAAUAUUUUUAUCUGCUCCCAUUUCCGAGAAAAAAGUUAAAAGAUCUAAAUUGAAUGCAUCAACUUAAUAAUACAUAAAUAAAUAAAUAAUACAAAUAUGUAAUAUGUUAGAAUUUUAUAAGAACAUAUAAGAUGAUAUGGUUAUUAUUUAGAAAAUAUAAAAUUUGUUUUAUUGUAUGUGUGUAUAACAGGAUAUGUUUUAGUUUUAAUAUUUCUUUAAUUUACAAUUAAAUUUGUAUCCGAUUUGAACUGCUUAUAAUUCUUAAAUAAGAAAACAGAUCGAUUAUUUAGUAUUUCACUUUUAUUCUGAUUUUUAACUUUUAUUACAUUAUUUAUUAGAAAAUAUCAGACAAAAGAUCCCCUCCGGCGCAGAUAAUUUUGUUACUACAACAAGUGCUAUCGGAAAAGGGAUUGCAGACCUUUUAAUGUCUGAAUUGAAAGAAUUGGGAGAGGAUGUGUGAUUCUAACAAGAUGAUACCACAUGUCACACGACAUAUAAGAUAAUUGGGAUUUUUAAAGAUAUACAUCUUGAACGUUUAAAUUCUCAUUUUGGUAAUUUGACAUGGUGGAGAUCUUCUGAUUUAGCUGUUUUUGAUUUUUUGUGGAGAUACUUGAAGGAUAGAGCUUAUACAAAUUAUGGACAUUGGAGGAGCUAAAAAGAGAUGUUUAUCAAGAAAAAGAGAACAUAAGCUCAGAAAUUUUAAACUGUCAAGAAAAAUGCAAAAGAGAAAAAAUUACUAUAAAUAAUGAAGAAAGAGGGUUAUUUGUCUGCUAUUAUUUUCAACUGAGUAAUAUAACAAAAGUUAAAAAUACAGAAAAUAAAAAGAAAUACCAUUUUUCGAUCAAAGCAGAUCUUCGUGUUUAAUAUUUUUAUAUUAAUUAUUAAAUAUAUUUUUUAGUUCCAUAAACUGCGUGGCAAUAUAUUUGCCGGACUUCAAAAACGUAAUCAUAAACUGAAAUAGUAAUAAUAUCUUAAAUUAAUUUAAACGUCGAAUUUAAUAAUGCUACAAACAUCUUAAAAAAACUAUAAAGAACUUAUAAAGUUAAAAAUCUGAAUCAAAAUAAAACCUAAAAUACUUAUUGUUAGUUACUUUUUGUUUAUUUAAAAAUUGUAGGCAGUUCAAAUUGAAUGCUUACUUUAGUCAUCUUGUUUAUAUGUAAAUUUAUUUUUGUCCACAUAUUCAAUAGGAAUAAGUUAAUAAACUAUACAAAUAACGUUAUUUAAUCAUAUCUAAUAAAUGUGACAAAUUUUAUCAAUAUUUAAUAUCUCAUUAAUUUUUACUGGAUCACAUACAUGACAAUGAGUAUUCAAUAAGAGCUGUACAAAUAUAAUAUACAUUAAUAAUAAUAUAUAUAAUAAAAGAUAUUUGCUCAACAA
Solenopsis invicta (red fire ant) is the source of this 2642-nucleotide long non-coding RNA. RefSeq lists it as uncharacterized. The record is from RefSeq and is a predicted model, not a curated record. The transcript has 2 exons. Lineage: Eukaryota; Metazoa; Arthropoda; Insecta; Hymenoptera; Formicidae.